GACAGAGGGUGCAAACGUUUGUUCGGAAUUACUGGGCGUAAAGCGCGUGUAGGCGGCUAAGUAAGUCGGGCGUGAAAUCCCACGGCUCAACCGUGGAAGUGCACUCGAAACUGCAUAGCUAGAGUCCUGGAGAGGAAGGUGGAAUGCUUGGUGUAGAGGUGAAAUUCGUAGAUAUCAAGCGGAACACCGGUGGCGAGGGCGGCCUUCUGGGCAGUAGCUGGACACUGAGGCGCGACAGCGUGGGGAGCAAACAGG
This 255-nucleotide ribosomal RNA is filed under the name uncultured bacterium. RNAcentral describes it as "partial 16S ribosomal RNA". It matches the Rfam family "Bacterial small subunit ribosomal RNA", at positions 524 to 776 of the family's 1533-position model. The record is from RNAcentral.